CAGGCGGCGGCCGGUUGGAGCCCUGCUCGGUCUGCGGCUCUCUGGCCACAGACCCCGGUUGGACUGAGGAGUGGCGCAGCGGGAGGGAGAGUCUGGGCACUAUACCGACAGCCAGCAAGCUGAGCGUCCACGGAGCCCGGAUCGACCCGGCUUCCUCCCCGCCUCUCCCAGUGGCCUCGGACAGGAUCCAUCACCUCUGCAGGUCGGGUUUUCCCCGGGUCUAAAGAGAACGCCACAGAUGCGAACGCAGAGGCACAUAAGAAAGUCUUCUAGACUUAUAUGCAGAAAGCACUCUAAACAACUGAAGAAUGAAGCUGACUUCAUAAGUCAUUUUGAAAUGAAUCUUCCAAUUGACCGAUAUGACUGGGAAAGCCAACAAGGAAGCAGUGAGGAGGACCCUUCUCUUCAGACGGAAAGAUGCUUGAUGGAAGAGGCUGCUCAAGAGUCUGUCGGCUGGGAUGGUUAGAUAGAAAGCCUAUUCCCACCUCAUAGGGUGUGAAAUGAAACAGGGGUUGAAAACUGGCAGCCACAGGGCUGUGGAGAUUGGUUUGGCACUAGCUGUAUUUUAAAAAAUUAAUUAAUUGCCAACAUUUUAAAAUGGAUAUUUCAUACCAAAAAUCCAAAUUUCUGCCUUAUGAACAAAUGGAGAGAUGUGGACACACUGGGUCUCCCAUAGCAACAGUCAAUUAGAGGCAACAGCAGCAGCAGGCAUCCAUUUAGAUGAGGAAUCUGCUCCCCACUUUUCUGCAUCCCCUACGGGGUCAGCUUGUCAUCUCAUCACCCCCCCAGCUUUUGUAAACACUAAGUCUGAUAAACCCUGAGUUAAUAACAACUCUAAGACAGUGAUGAUGAGUUCAUCGCAGUUUGUACAAAUAUCAGGUGCAAAGUACUUUCGCAGUGCUAGGGACAUAGAGAAUAAAACAUGAGGGCUGGGCAUAUAGCUCAGUUGGUAGAGUGCUUGCCUUGCAUGCACAAGGGCCUGGGUUCUAUCCCCAGCACCAAAAAAGAAAAAAGAAAAAAAAAAAAAAAAAGAUAGGACUGGGCUGGGGUUGUGGCUCAGUUGUAAAGCACUUGCCUAGCAUGCAUGAGGCACUGGGUUCUAUCCCCAGCACCACAUAAAAAUAAAACAAAAUAAAGGUAUUCUGUCCAUCUACAACUAAAAAAAAAAAAAAAAGAAUAAGACAUGAUCUCUGAACCCAAGGAAUUCAGACCACUGGAAAGGAGAAAGUACAUUGGUUAUUAUUAUACAUGACAGCAUGUGUAUUGUGAAGGUAAAGACAUGGUGGAGAUUGAAGUGAGUAAACCUGUAUUCUAGUUUUUUGAGAUGAUACUUAGCUCACUCACAUCCAGUCUUUCUCCUUUUUAUUUAUUUCCUUUUUUAAAAUUUUUUUUAGUUGUAGAUGGACACAAUACCUUUUUGUUUAUUUAUUUACUUAUAUUUAUGUGGUGUGUAGGAUGGAACCCAGGGCCUCACACAUGCCAGGCAAGCGCUCUGCCACUGAGCCACAACCCAAGCCUGUAGUCUUUCUCCUUUUCUAAUAUAUGGAUUUAAAGAUAUCAGUUCCCUUCUAAGUAUGGCCUGAGCUUUAUCUCACAAGUUGCAACAUGUACUUAUUACCAUUCAUUGAAAAAUAUUUUUCUGAUAUCUAUCUAUGGUUUCUUCUUUGACCUGUGAUUUUAAAGUGUAUUUCUUAAUUUCAAAACAUAUGGAAUGCUGUAAUUCUCAAAUUUAUCUCCACCUUAAUUGCCUUAGACAAACAUACUCUAUUUUAAUCCUUUGAAAUUUGUCGAGAUUUGCUUUAUGAACUAACAUAUGGUCAGAUGUGUAAACAUUCAACAUGAACUUGAAAAGAAUACAUGUUCUUCAGUGGGCAGGUGCAAUGUGCCUUAUGUAUACACUAGACCAAGUUUGUUGAUUUAGCCCUUCAAAUAUUCUAUAUCCUUAAUGAUUUCUAAAAUCUCAGUUCUAUCAAUAACUAAGAGGUAUGUAAAAAAUCUUGUUGAUUGUGGAUUUGUCCAUUUCUCCUUGUGGUCCUAACAAUUUUUAUGUACUUGUUGUUAAAACAUAACAUACAUGAAAGUACAUGAGACUCACAUAUGUGGUUCAGUGAAGUUUUAUAUGUACACAAACACAUAACCCAAGUCAGAUAGACACUUAUAGCACCAGUCUUACUCAUACAAAGACAAUAUGCUUCUUUCUUCCCCAGUACCACUUUCACCUGUUCUUGAAAAGCAUAAAAUACAAUCAUGGUACAUAUUCCAUUGUGUCUGACUUCUUUUGCUUAACAUGCCUAUGAGCUUCCUUCAUGUUGUUAAAUAAAGUAGUUAUUUGUUC
Marmota monax (woodchuck) is the source of this 2335-nucleotide long non-coding RNA. RefSeq lists it as uncharacterized. NCBI's taxonomy places the organism in Eukaryota, Metazoa, Chordata, Mammalia, Rodentia, Sciuridae. The record is from RefSeq and is a predicted model, not a curated record. The transcript has 3 exons.